This 872-nucleotide long non-coding RNA is filed under the name Cavia porcellus (domestic guinea pig). Its description in RNAcentral is "lncRNA (ENSCPOG00000031848.1)". The record is from RNAcentral. Lineage: Eukaryota; Metazoa; Chordata; Mammalia; Rodentia; Caviidae.
GAUUCCUCACUCCGCACCAUUCCUGGAUUCUAAGCUGGGUCUCUCAGAGAGCCUCCGUAGCUGCUGCUGUCUGUCUGCCAUGUUCUCCCAGAAGCCAUGGUAACUCCAGAGAGACAUUUGGCCUGAACAGCUUCACCACCACUGCCUCUGGCUCCACCUCCAUGCUCUCCACCACGAAUGCAGGGACUGAAGCACCAGUCACCACUGCAGGUCUUGAAGACAAAGACUCAGCCAACCAUGGCAGGAACAGAACGCAAGAGAGUGCAAAGUCAUGGCCAUCGUGACCAAUCACACAGCUGCACAAACAGCCCCGCAGCAUCUGAGAAUGUAGCAUGCCAGUUUCCAUGAUGGAAUUACAGCUCUUUUCUGCUUCCUAAGAAAUGGUGACACUGGGCAUCCUAAAAAUGUCAGUUGAAUGCAUGUCCUGGCCUCCAGAAGUGUGUAUACAUCCUGGAGUUAAAUUUUCUUGUCUAUAAAAGAAAACCAGGAGUUUGGUGCUGACAGCCUGGAGCUGAGAGCACUUCUAGUUUCUGUGACUUCUUGCUGCGGCCUGCAAAGGAUCCUCUGAAACCUUCAAGUGUCACAAUGAUAUGAUGAAGACAAUUAUUUGAUGUUGAAGAACAGCAAUAUAAAUAUAAUGAAGAUAUAGUAACCUGCAAUGAUUUCAAGUCCUUUCAGAAGCAUGAAAUAAAGAAGACUGGAGAGAGACUCUGUCAAUAUGGUCAAUGUGGGGAGGACAGCUCUGAUUUUUGUGAACAAACUCACCCUGGGCAGAAAUCCUUUCUAAGUAAGAAAAGUUUGAAAGUCUGUGCAACAUCUAACAGUGUUCAAAUCCAUGAGAGAAAUCACAGUUUGGGGAAAUAAUAUGUACA